AUUGAACGCUAGCGGGAUGCUUUACACAUGCAAGUCGAACGGCAGCGCGGACUUCGGUCUGGCGGCGAGUGGCGAACGGGUGAGUAAUGUAUCGGAACGUGCCCAGUAGCGGGGGAUAACUACGCGAAAGCGUAGCUAAUACCGCAUACGCCCUACGGGGGAAAGCUGGGGAUCGUAAGACCUUGCACUAUUGGAGCGGCCGAUAUCGGAUUAGCUAGUUGGUGAGGUAACGGCUCACCAAGGCGACGAUCCGUAGCUGGUUUGAGAGGACGACCAGCCACACUGGGACUGAGACACGGCCCAGACUCCUACGGGAGGCAGCAGUGGGGAAUUUUGGACAAUGGGGGCAACCCUGAUCCAGCCAUCCCGCGUGUGCGAUGAAGGCCUUCGGGUUGUAAAGCACUUUUGGCAGGAAAGAAACGUCGCGGGCUAAUACCCCGUGGAACUGACGGUACCUGCAGAAUAAGCACUGGCUAACUACGUG
RNAcentral lists this ribosomal RNA (484 nucleotides) under uncultured bacterium. RNAcentral describes it as "partial 16S ribosomal RNA". It matches the Rfam family "Bacterial small subunit ribosomal RNA", at positions 30 to 507 of the family's 1533-position model. The record is from RNAcentral.